RNAcentral lists this ribosomal RNA (678 nucleotides) under Cryptococcus sp. APSS 862. RNAcentral's name for it is "eukaryotic LSU rRNA". It matches the Rfam family "Eukaryotic large subunit ribosomal RNA", at positions 1 to 667 of the family's 3401-position model. The record is from RNAcentral. Lineage: Eukaryota; Fungi; Basidiomycota; Tremellomycetes; Tremellales; Cryptococcaceae.
CUGACCUCAAAUCAGGUAGGACUACCCGCUGAACUUAAGCAUAUCAAUAAGCGGAGGAAAAGAAACUAACAAGGAUUCCCCUAGUAACGGCGAGUGAACCGGGAAGAGCUCAAAUUUGAAAUCUGGCGUCCUCAGGGCGUCCGAGUUGUAAUCUAUAGAGGCGUUUUCCGUGCCGGACCGUGUCCAAGUCCCUUGGAACAGGGUAUCAAAGAGGGUGACAAUCCCGUACUUGACACGACUACCGGUGCUCUGUGAUACGUCUUCUACGAGUCGAGUUGUUUGGGAAUGCAGCUCAAAAUGGGUGGUGAGUUCCAUCUAAAGCUAAAUAUUGGCGAGAGACCGAUAGCGAACAAGUACCGUGAGGGAAAGAUGAAAAGCACUUUGGAAAGAGAGUUAAACAGUACGUGAAAUUGUUGAAAGGGAAACGAUUGAAGUCAGUCGUGACCGAGAGGCUCAGCCGGCUCUGCCGGUGUAUUCCCCUCGGUCGGGUCAACAUCAGUUUUGUCCGGUGGAUAAGGGCGGCAGGAAUGUGGCACCCUCGGGUGUGUUAUAGCCUGCUGUCGCAUACACCGGGUGAGACUGAGGAACGCAGCUCGCCUUUAUGGCCGGGGCCCGCCCACGUACGAGCUUAGGAUGUUGACGUAAUGGCUUUAAACGACCCGUCUUGAAACACGGACC